GGAAGAUCCGAGGCCAGGAGACUAAUGAGGAUCUGAUCCAGUAAUCCCUGCGUCACUUAUUGAAGAAAUGGAGGCCCAGGAAGGUGAACUAUUCUGUGCAUGGUAACCACAUAAUAACAUGUCACAGUGAGGAACCAAACCCACGUAUCCGGUCUCAAUCUUCAUUCUAACCAGGGGAUGUGCUGCCCCUGAUUGUGUUAAGCACCACAUAUAAGGGGCAAAAGGAAAUCCAAGAGAGACAAACCGCUUUGCCCAAGAAAUAAUGAUCUGAAAGGCCACAUGUGGAGAAGAUAGACAAGACAUAGGAAUAACUCAGGGUGGAUUCUACCUUCCUAAGUACACCCACCUCCAAAGGCAAGAGGACCAUCUUCUGCCAGGAAAUACUGAGCCAUAAAACGUUUCCAAAUUGCAAGACAAGUACCACAGACAGAUGAGAUCUGUUUUUCAGACUUAAGCCAUCAUACAAAUCAGGUGAGGGCAAAUAAACACUCUGUUGAACUUAGGAAGACAAG
Molecule: long non-coding RNA, 512 nt
Organism: Suricata suricatta (meerkat)
Lineage: Eukaryota; Metazoa; Chordata; Mammalia; Carnivora; Herpestidae
Exons: 4
Source: RefSeq, a predicted model, not a curated record